CACGCUGUAAACGAUGGAUACUAGCUGUUGGAGGUAUCGACCCCUUCAGUAGCGAAGCUAACGCGUUAAGUAUCCCGCCUGUGGAGUACGGUCGCAAGACUAAAACAUAAAGGAAUUGACGGGGACCCGCACAAGCGGUGGAGCGUGUUCUUUAAUUCGAAGUUAAACGAUAAACCUUACCUGGGUUUGACAUCCUGCGAAUUUUACCGAAAGGUAGAAGUGCCCCAAGAGUACAGAAAAUAUUUUUUGUGUACUGUUGGGGGAACGCAGAGACAGGUGA
Molecule: ribosomal RNA, 280 nt
Filed under: uncultured Candidatus Saccharibacteria bacterium
Lineage: Bacteria; Candidatus Saccharimonadota
Description: partial 16S ribosomal RNA
Rfam family: Bacterial small subunit ribosomal RNA
Source: RNAcentral